Molecule: ribosomal RNA, 853 nt
Filed under: uncultured Pseudomonadota bacterium
Lineage: Bacteria; Pseudomonadati; Pseudomonadota
Description: bacterial SSU rRNA
Rfam family: Bacterial small subunit ribosomal RNA
Source: RNAcentral
UAGAGUUUGAUCCUGGCUCAGAAUGAACGCUGGCGGCGUGCUUAACACAUGCAAGUCGAACGAGAAAGGGAUUGCUUGCAAUCCUGAGUAGAGUGGCGCACGGGUGAGUAACACGUAGAUAAUCUACCUUCAAUUUUGGGAUAACCAGGCGAAUGUUUGGCUAAUACCAGAUAAAGUACGAAUACAAGGGUAUUGAUAUGAAAGUAUGCCUCUGCCUGCAAGCAUAUGAUUGGAGAUGAGUCUGCGGACCAUUAGCUGGUUGGUAGGGUAAAGGCCGACCAAGGCAACGAUGGUUAGCUGGUCUGAGAGGAUGGUCAGUCACACUGGAACUGGAACACGGUCCAGACUCCUACGGGAGGCAGCAGUGAGGGAUUUUGCGCAAUGGGGUAACCCCUGACGCAGCAACGCCGCGUGAGUGAAGAAGGCCUUUGGGUCGUAAAGCUCUGUCAACUGGGAAGAAGUUGCAGUUAUCCAAUAGAUAUCUGUAUUGACGGUACCAGUGGAGGAAGCGUCGGCUAACUCCGUGCCAGCAGCCGCGGUAACACGGGGGACGCAAGCGUUAUUCGGAAUUAUUGGGCGUAAAGGGCGUGUAGGCGGUCUUAUCGGUCAGAUGUGAAAGCCCAGGGCUUAACCCUGGACGUGCAUUUGAAACAGUAAGACUUGAGUACUGGAGAGGAAAGCGGAAUUCCUGGUGUAGAGGUGAAAUUCGUAGAUAUCAGGAGGAACACCGAUGGCGAAGGCAGCUUUCUGGACAGAGACUGACGCUGAUGCGCGAAGGCGUGGGUAGCGAACAGGAUUAGAUACCCUGGUAGUCCACGCAGUAAACGAUGUACACUAGGUGUAGGAGAUAUUA